Molecule: ribosomal RNA, 113 nt
Filed under: Castor canadensis (American beaver)
Lineage: Eukaryota; Metazoa; Chordata; Mammalia; Rodentia; Castoridae
Source: RNAcentral
GACUAUAGCCUUACCACCCGAAUAUACCCAAUCUGGUCUGAUCUCAGAAGCUAAGCAGGCUUUGGCCUGGUUAGUACUUGGAUGGGAGACUAAAACCCAACCCUUGCACUUCC